UUUUUUUUUGAGCGGUCAAUAAGAUGAUUAUAAAUAAGCUACCACCUGUUGCAGAAAAAAAGCUACCGUAGCCAAUCAGGUUGAAGGAACAACUUCCAAACACCUUGAACCAAUAAGAGAAUGACAACCAAUAAAAUCAAUAAUCUAAAAGGCCCAAAUAAUCUAAAGGGAUUGAAUGGCAUUUUGGUAAUUUAUCCGAAAAACAUUAGGGUUUCCAUCAAGAGUAUAUAUAUUUCGUCAUUCUGAACCAGAUCUAACUCUUUCUCCUCCUUCAAUCAUAGUUAAUAGUUUCUUUUCACUUUUGAAGUUUAAUUAGAUUUGAGGUAGAAAAUGAGGAAUGGCUCUCUAUAAUCGAGUCAACAGCGGGAGCUUAAUUCAUAGUUAUCUGACUGCCGCUUAGAGCCUAAAUUAAAAUACCAGAUGAAGAUCCUUGAAAUUAAACUCAAUUUCUUUCAAGACACAAUUUUCUGGAAUCUCUCUAAAGACUUAUUUUAAACCUCUUACUCUGUGCCAUAUGACUUUCUACUAGAGCAACAUAACAUCUUCUACAAAAUUAUCAUAGAAACUCAACAUUCCUUUGGAAGUCCCACAGGUUAAGGAUUCAUCACAAAUAGUUCAGAAAACAGAACAUAACAUCUAAAAAAAUAUAUCCAAUAUGUCUAUUAAAUUCAACAAUAGUUACGGUGUUAUCUAUAGUUAACCACGAUUUUCAUUCAUUCUCUUAUAAUUGUAUAUUCUAACCACGUUUUUGUUACGGUAUUAUUAAAUAAGUAAACUAAUAUCGUAAGUUAACAACAAAUUUAUUGAGUGAUUUAGUAGUGGUUAGUGUUUUAGAUGUUAAUUUUUUAUACAAUUUUGACAUGUAUUAACUAACCAUUGGAUUAUCACAAUAAAAUUUAUGCGUCUCUAUACAUCAAAAUCUAAAUCACAUAUCCUAUUGAGUAACAAUAAAUAAAAAAAUAAACAAUGCGGAGGUGUCACUAAACUUCUACUUUAGACCCUUUUAAAGAACUACGUAAAAUCAUCGUGGGAGGAGGAAGGAGAAGAUAAAAUAAAAGAAGCAAGGCCUAAGUGAAGAACAAUUGGAUUGAUGUUUUUCACUAAUCAUAAUAAAAAUAAAUAUGGUAGUAUAUGAUUGUAAUCAGUACGAAACCUUAUGAUUGAAAUUAAAAAACAACUCCCUACAACCUUGCUAGAAGAAGAAUGUCAAGUAAUAAGAGUUUGGUUUCCAUGAAAAUCAAUAGGUAAACUCUUUUUUUUUAGGAUUAGAUGUAACUAUAUAAACUUGAUAUAUCCAAUAUGUCUAUUUGAUUUGUUUUUAAUACUAUUACACCGUGUUUUCAUGUCUAUUAUUGUUUCUAAUUCAUAUUUGGUUUGAUACUUAAUUCAUGAUUUAAUGUUUGAAUGUGUAAUGAAAAUAUCAUGUUUAAACCAAGCCUAGAGUAUGUCAUCGAAUAACAUGUUAUUUCUAGGAAUAUAAUUAAUUGAUAUAUUCUUUAAAAUACCAUCCAAUUUAAAUAGGAAUUUGGAGAUAAUUUUGUAAUUAGUACUGUAAUUAUGUCAUUUUUAUAAAUAGGAAAUUGAAGAAAAUUUUGUAUUAUUAGUGUAACUACGUAAUUAUGAUUGUAAUUAUUGUAGGAAUUUGGAGAAACUAUAUCCAUAAUUAUUUGGAUAUAAUUUUGUAAUUAUUACUAUAAUUACACAAUUAUUGUAGGAAUUUGGAGAAAAUAUAUCAAUAAUUAUUAAUUUUAAACUGAAAAAAUGAUAGACAAUAAAUUUUGUAAUUAUUAUUGUAAUUAAGUAAUUAUUUCUCUAAUUAUUGUUGGAAUUUGGAGAAAGUAUAUCCAUAGUUACUAAUUUUAAACUGAAAAAAUGAUAAAUGUCUAUUUUGUGCUCUAAAUGUUUAAUUAGUAAUUACUAAUUUCUAAAUGAUAAUUACUAAUUCUAAAUGAUAAUUACUAAUUUCUAUAAUGAUAAAUGUCUAUUUUGUGCUCUAAAUGUCUAAUUUCUAUAAUGAUAAAUUCUAUAGUGAUAAAUGUCUAAUUAGUAAUUACUGAAUGAUAAUUACUAAAUUCUAUAAUGAUAAAUGUCUAUUUUGGGCUCUAAAUGUCUAAUUUCUAUAAUUUUGUGCUCUAAAUGAUAAUUACUAAUUUUUAUAAUUGUGUGCUCUAAAUGUCUAUUUUGUUUCAUCUUUGACAUGUUAUGUUGGGCUAAGAUUUUGAUGAUUAAAUAUAUUAAAAUGUUAGUUAAGAUUUUGAUGAUUAAAUAUAUUAAAAUAGAUGAUAUUAUUCUUUAUUUCAAAGUGUCUAGUAUAAUUUAGUAAAUAUUUAAAUUAAAUGUAAAGUUAAUAUUUAGUAAUAAUUCUGAGUAAUGUUUAAAAUUAUAUCAAAUCAGAACCAAAUAUAGGUAAAUAGAAAGGUAAACCAUAAUUAGAGUACAUACCUAAGAUAGAAGACUGAAAGUUAGUAUACUCACAACAAUUGAUCAACUUUGCAAUAUACUACCUACAAAUGUUAAAAACUUUAGUCUUUAAAAUCACUAAAAAAAAUCAAAGCUUAGAGUAAAGACAUAAUAAUCAAAAACCAUGUCAAAAAUACAAUAUAAAGUGCAAACAAAACCAUGUAAGUUUCAGUUCCAACAAAAUACUAACCCCAAAAUAUAUUA
This 2664-nucleotide small RNA is filed under the name Lupinus albus (white lupine). RNAcentral describes it as "hypothetical ncRNA". The record is from RNAcentral. Lineage: Eukaryota; Viridiplantae; Streptophyta; Magnoliopsida; Fabales; Fabaceae.